Molecule: non-coding RNA, 54 nt
Organism: Salmo salar (Atlantic salmon)
Lineage: Eukaryota; Metazoa; Chordata; Actinopteri; Salmoniformes; Salmonidae
Source: Rfam
UUCCUGCAUGACUGUAAGUCGCUUUGGGAAAAAACGUCUGCUAAAUGGCAUAUA